RNAcentral lists this long non-coding RNA (1453 nucleotides) under Chloebia gouldiae (Gouldian finch). RNAcentral's name for it is "Erythrura gouldiae (Gouldian finch) lncRNA (ENSEGOG00005011087.1)". The record is from RNAcentral. Lineage: Eukaryota; Metazoa; Chordata; Aves; Passeriformes; Passeridae.
GGGGAAUUUUAGGCUGAAUUUUAGGCUGAAUUUUUGGGGAAUUUUAGGCUGUAUUUGCGGAUUUUUGGGCCCAAUUUUUUGGGAUUUUUGGGCUUAAUUUUUGGGGAAUUUUAGGCUGAAUUUUACGUAGAAUGUUUGGGGAACUUUGGGCUGAAUUUGGGGAUUUUUGGGCCUAAUUUUUCUGGAAUUUUGGGCAUAAUUUUUGGGGAAUUUUAGGCUCAAUAUUAGGCUGAAUUUUUGGGGAAUUUUGGGCUGAAUUUCGGGAUUUUGGGGCCUAAUUUUUGGGAAAUUUUAGGCUGAAUUUUUCCGAAAUUUAAGGCUGAAUUUUAGGCUGAAUUUGUGGGGAAUUUUGGGCUGAACUUGGGGAUUUUUGGGCUCAAUUUUUGGGGAAUUUUGGGCUGAAUUUGGGGAUAUUUGGGCUUAAUUUUUAAGGAAUUUUGGGCUGAAUUUUUGGGGAAUUUUAGGCUUAAUUUGGGGAUUUUUGGGCUUAAUUUUAGGGGAAUUUUGGGCCUAAUUUUCGGGGAGUUUUGGGCUUAAAUUUGUGGAAUUUUAGGCUAAAUUUUAGGCUGAAUUUUUGGGCAAUUUUGGGCUGAAUUUGCGGAUUUUUGGGCCUAAUUUUUGGGGAUUUUUGGGCUUACUUUUUGGGGAUUUUUGGGCUGAAUUUUUGGGGAAUUUUGGGCUGAAUUUCGGGAUUUUGGGGCCUAAUUUUUGGGAAAUUUUAGGCUGAAUUUUAGGCGGAAUUUUUGGGGAAUUUUGGACUGAAUUUGGGGAUUUAUGGGCCCAAUUUUUGGGGAUUUUUGGGCUGAAUUUUUGAGGAAUUUUGGGCUGAAUUUGGGGAUUUUUGGGCCUAAUUUUUGGGGAUUUUUGGGCUGAAUUUUUGGGGAAUUUUGGGCUGAAUUUCGGGAUUUUGGGGCCUAAUUUUUGGGAAAUUUUAGGCUGAAUUUUAGGCGGAAUUUUUGGGGAAUUUUGGACUGAAUUUGGGGAUUUAUGGGCCCAAUUUUUGGGGAUUUUUGGGCUGAAUUUUUGAGGAAUUUUGGGCUGAAUUUGGGGAUUUUUGGGCCUAAUUUUUGGGGAAUUUUCGGCUAAAUUUUGGGGGAAUUUUAGGCUUAAUUUUUGGGGAUUUUUGGGCUGAAAUUCUGGGGAAUUUUGGGCUGAAUUUGGCGAUUUUUGGGCCUAAUUUUUGGGGAAUUUUGGGAUGAAUUUUUUGGGAAUUCUUGGCUGAAUUUGGGGAGUUUUGGGCCUAAUUUUUGGGAUCUUUGCACCUAAUUUUCGAGGAAUUUUGGGCUUAAAUUUGGGGAAUUUUAGGCUGAAUUUUAGGCUGAAUUUUUGGGGAAUUUUAGGCUGUAUUUGCGGAUUUUUGGGCCCAAUUUUUGGGGAUUUUUAGGCUGAAUUUUUGGGGAAUUUUGGGCUGAACUUGGGGAUUUUAUGCUGAAUUUUUGGGGAAUUUUGGGCG